This is a long non-coding RNA of Oxyura jamaicensis (ruddy duck), 2416 nucleotides long. RefSeq lists it as uncharacterized. Lineage: Eukaryota; Metazoa; Chordata; Aves; Anseriformes; Anatidae. The record is from RefSeq and is a predicted model, not a curated record. The transcript has 3 exons.
CGAAUUUUGAGAACAAGCUGGACUCUUCAGUGACACUGGAAUGCUUUAAGAUUUGAGUGCACGCACUCUGCAUUAAACAAAUCUUACAAGUCUGCGUUCUAGCAGUCAGCCUGGUUGAAUAUAACCUCGACAUGGUAGGUUGAAGUUACAGAAAUUGAAGUAUUCUAAUAUACUAACCCAAGGUUUCUAAAUCUGAUUUUGUUCACUGAACGUAAUAAUGGAAAGUGUCCAUUAUAUGUACUUGUGCAAAAAGGAAAAAAAAAAAAAAAAAAAAAAGCAUUCCACUUCAAUACCUAUAACCUUGGCAAAAAUAUAUCUGAAAUCAAAGACAGCAUUCUCAGAUAGAACAGAAUGUGCCAAUCCUCCAAAUACAGGAUGAAGUACCAGAAGGAUGAUUGUGAUUUACCAGGGCCAGCAGAGAUUGCUUGACUGUAUAUAUGCUCUGCUCCUUCACACUGCACCAAAUUUGCUGAUAACUCACUGUAGUGACUCUGAAGAAUUUUGUUCUGGCAUAGUCCUUUACCAACAUUGGUCUGUAAUAUGAUCAACUGCAUAAAAGAUUAAAUGUUUCCUGUAGAAAAAAGCUCUUUAUAGACAUAUGAAUUGGUAGAAGUCCAGAGUUAGCAUCUCUUCAUAGACUUCUUGCUGAAACUUUGGUGGCUUGUUACGAAGGGUUUAUUUUCCAUGACUCAUAAAUAGUUUUUGAACCUUGCCUUCAAUAUUCAUGAAAUAAUAGAGAAGCAUGAGGAUUUCUGCUUUUUAUUGGUCCACAUUUUCACAUAAUCUAUCCUUAAGAAAAACCCAUAUCAGACUUCAUAUAAAAUCUUGGAAGAACUGUCUCAACAAGCAACUAUGAAUGAUCUAUCUUCCUAAAUAGUUUAUAGAGACUGAGUACAUGCAUUGGCUAUCUUAUUUAGUGUGUGGGAAGCUGAUUAUGCUUAUUUAAGAAAAUAUGAGAUAAAAAUGAUAUUGCAUUAUUUAAUGGUACAAUCAAACCAAUCAUACCACUUUUUUUUUUUUUUUUUUUUUUUUUUUUUUUUGUACUAGAGUGUACAGUAACACUUGCCCUAGGGGUUUGUCAUACAAUAUGCCAACUAGACUCAUAAAAAUCACAAACGACUAUUAUCUGAAAUCACAGGCACGAAAAGAUUUUAAAUGACUGCAUGAAAAUUUGGUUUGGGUGCUUUGAGUGACAAGCAAUUCCAUAUAGGUAAUCUGCACUUUCUGUUCAAAUUUUAAAAAUAUCAAUAACACUAAAUAUUGCCUUAGAUGUUGAAGCCAUUCAGAUUAAAUCUUCCACCCAGCCCCACUGACUGCAAUGAUAAAUGCAUGUGAUAUUUAUAUGUUAUUUAUGUGCAGAAUGUGAUUUUACUUUACUGCUUUCCAGUACUAAUGUUGGUUAGCAAAAUUUCAUUAAUUUUGUUUUCCUUCUGCUGCUGUGGUCCUUCCUUUUCCAUUUCCCUCCAUUUACUUAUAUUUAUUUUUUCCAAUAUCCCAUGGCUUAUGUUCCAGUGUUCUAUUCAGAACACAAUGGCAUCAAAGCAUGAAGAGAUUACCAGAAAAGAGAUCCACGCCUAAUUUCUGUGACCAUUUCUGUACUCUGCAAGGUGUUAUUCAAGCUGCUAUGACAACUAGAGUGGGUAAGAAAGAGUUCUGGACCUUAAUCUCGUGUUGCUUCUCCACAGGGUUUCCAAGAGCAACAUCCUGGCAGAAUACAAAAUGAAAGUGGAAUAUAAGUACCCUCAUUAGUCAUCCUCUUUUUUACCAAUGGGGGCAGAAUAUCCUUUUACAUGAGCUCUGGAAAAAGAGCAGCAGUGAGAAAAUAACCUAUAGUUCUUAAGGCAUAAAUGUUUCUUGUUGAUGUUACUUUUAUUUUAAUUUAAUUGUGUUUGGAAUGACAACCCUAAAAAUAACCUGUGGUUCUUGCUGCAAUAUGGAAGGAAAUAACCAGAUAUCCUGGUUAUCCAAAGUGUAAGACAUUUUAAUGUAACAUGGGGAGUUAUGUUUGUUUGACCGUUAAUGAUUAUUUGUUUGUUUUCAAGAGGUGUUCGGAACAUCUGAAGAUAAAAGAAAAACCUCUACUGAUAUAAUUAGUGAAAAGUCUGCCAGAAUAAAUAAAUAAUGUUGAGAAUGGUAAAAAGUCAAUAUUUCCAUUGAGAUGAAUCUCUUCAAAACUUAAGUGAUUGCACAAAUAAAUGAUUUUCUAUAAGAAAUACAAUUAUGGUAAUUAAUACUAUAGCUUUUAAAAUAAUUAUAUAAUGCCAGAUAGAAUACUUAUAAUAAAGCAUUCUUUAGCAAAUUUCUAAGUAUGUCUAUAUAUCUAAAAUCUAAGAAGUCUAAUACAUUCUUAAUGAUUAAAACCUUUGAGCACAAGUUACUUCAUACGUUGCUAUCAGUUUCAGGCUCAAAGUAUUAA